Non-coding RNA from Oreochromis niloticus (Nile tilapia), 593 nucleotides. The record is from the annotation of a RefSeq genome assembly. NCBI's taxonomy places the organism in Eukaryota, Metazoa, Chordata, Actinopteri, Cichliformes, Cichlidae.
UUUGUCUGACUGCUUAGAAUAUGACAGCAUAGUGGGCAGGAACAGUUGUACAAGAUGGACUACUGGACAGCACUGCUACUGUUAACUGUCUGCUGGGCAGGUGUUGAUGGUCAGACUCUGACAGAAUCUGAACCUGCAGUUAAAAGACCAGAAGAAUCCCACAGACUGACCUGUACAACAUCUGGAUUUAACUUUGGAGACUACUGGAUGCACUGGAUUAGACAGGCCCCUGGCAAAGGGCUGGAGUGGAUUGCUCGCAUUUCUUUUUGGGCUGGUAGCACUAUUAACUAUUCUCAGUCAGUCAGAGGCCGGUUUACCAUCUCCAGGGACAACAACAAACGGCAGCUGUAUCUGCAGAUGAACAGUCUGAAGACUGAAGAUUCUGCUGUUUAUUAUUGUGCUCGAGAGCCACAGUAACUGAAGUUGUUUAAGCAGCUGUACAAAAUCCUGCAGUCCUCAUUGUGAUACUUUUAUCUUGCAUCAUAAAUGUAGUAUAAUGCAAACAUCAUCCAUACUAAUACUAAUACAAUUAAAACUAAUCCUGCUGUAAGUCUAUUGCACUUGUCUGAGAAGUUCAUUACAUUCCUCUCACU